CAGGUUCAAAAGGGCAGCAAGGUUCUUCAGGUGUGCCUGGAUUACCAGGUAUAGCAGGCCCCCCUGGAUUUCCUGGUAUUCAAGGGGAUAAAGGAGAACCUAAACCUGGCACUGGGCCUCCAGGAAACCCAGGACCUAAGGGUAAUCCAGGUCUUCUUGGAGAGAGGGGAAGAAAAGGGACACGUGGAUCACCAGGCCACCCAGGUCUUAUUGGAGAACCUGGACUACCUGGAAACAGAGGCAAUACUGGUUUACCAGGAAUUACAGGACAACCAGGACCUGUAGGCAGUAAUGGUAUUAAAGGUAGCAAAGGACUGCCAGGAC
RNAcentral lists this long non-coding RNA (324 nucleotides) under Notechis scutatus (mainland tiger snake). RNAcentral describes it as "lncRNA (ENSNSUG00000014640.1)". The record is from RNAcentral. Lineage: Eukaryota; Metazoa; Chordata; Lepidosauria; Squamata; Elapidae.